Molecule: ribosomal RNA, 395 nt
Filed under: uncultured bacterium
Lineage: Bacteria
Description: bacterial SSU rRNA
Rfam family: Bacterial small subunit ribosomal RNA
Source: RNAcentral
AUCUUGCACAAUGGGGGCAACCCUGAUGCAGCGACGCCGCGUGAGCGAUGAAGCCCUUCGGGGUGUAAAGCUCUUUCGGCCCGAACGAUAAUGACGGUACGGGAAGAAGAAGCUGCGGCUAACUACGUGCCAGCAGCCGCGGUAAUACGUAGGCAGCGGGCGUUGUUCGGAGUUACUGGGCGUAAAGCGUGCGUAGGCGGUGUCCUAAGUUUGGUGUGAAAUCUCCCGGCUCAACUGGGAGGGUGCGCCGAAAACUGGGAUGCUGGAGUGUGGGAGAGGUAGGCGGAAUUCCUGGUGUAGCGGUGAAAUGCGUAGAUAUCAGGAGGAACACCUGUGGUGUAGACGGCUUACUGGACCGUAACUGACGCUGAGGCACGAAAGCGUGGGGAGCAAAC